AUCUGACUACGCUCUACACCCUUUGUGACAUACCUAUAACUGUUGCUUCGGCGGGCAGGGUCUCCGUGACCCUCCCGGCCUCCCGCCCCCGGGCGGGUCGGCGCCCGCCGGAGGAUAACCAAACUCUGAUUUAACGACGUUUCUUCUGAGUGGUACAAGCAAAUAAUCAAAACUUUUAACAACGGAUCUCUUGGUUCUGGCAUCGAUGAAGAACGCAGCGAAAUGCGAUAAGUAAUGUGAAUUGCAGAAUUCAGUGAAUCAUCGAAUCUUUGAACGCACAUUGCGCCCGCCAGCAUUCUGGCGGGCAUGCCUGUUCGAGCGUCAUUUCAACCCUCAAGCUCUGCUUGGUGUUGGGGCCCUACAGCUGAUGUAGGCCCUCAAAGGUAGUGGCGGACCCUCCCGGAGCCUCCUUUGCGUAGUAACUUUACGUCUCGCACUGGGAUCCGGAGGGACUCUUGCCGUAAAACCCCCAAUUUUCCAAAGGUUGACCUCGGAUCAGGUAGGAAUACCCGCUGAACUUAAGCAUAUCAAAGGCCCGGAGGAA
RNAcentral lists this ribosomal RNA (544 nucleotides) under Colletotrichum gloeosporioides. RNAcentral describes it as "eukaryotic LSU rRNA". The stretch from base 171 to 324 matches the Rfam family "5.8S ribosomal RNA". The record is from RNAcentral. Lineage: Eukaryota; Fungi; Ascomycota; Sordariomycetes; Glomerellales; Glomerellaceae.